This 253-nucleotide ribosomal RNA is filed under the name uncultured bacterium. RNAcentral describes it as "partial 16S ribosomal RNA". It matches the Rfam family "Bacterial small subunit ribosomal RNA", at positions 524 to 776 of the family's 1533-position model. The record is from RNAcentral.
UACAGGGGGUGCAAACGUUGCUCGGAAUUAUUGGGCGUAAAGCGCGCGUAGGCGGCUAUCUAAGUCGGAUGUAAAAGCCCCUGGCUUAACUGGGGAAGUGCACCCGAAACUGGGUAGCUAGAGUGCGAAAGAGGGUCGCGGAAUUCCCGGUGUAGAGGUGAAAUUCGUAGAUAUCGGGAGGAACACCGGUGGCGAAGGCGGCGACCUGGGUCGACACUGACGCUGAGGCGCGAAAGCGUGGGGAGCAAACAGG